RNAcentral lists this ribosomal RNA (577 nucleotides) under uncultured archaeon. RNAcentral describes it as "bacterial SSU rRNA". It matches the Rfam family "Archaeal small subunit ribosomal RNA", at positions 322 to 898 of the family's 1478-position model. The record is from RNAcentral.
AUUACGGGGCGCAGCAGGCGCGAAAACUUUACAAUGCUGGCAACAGCGAUAAGGGAACCUCGAGUGCCAGGUUACAAAUCUGGCUGUCGAGAUGCCUAAAAAGCAUUUCAUAGCAAGGGCCGGGCAAGACCGGUGCCAGCCGCCGCGGUAACACCGGCGGCUCGAGUGGUAACCGUUAUUAUUGGGUCUAAAGGGUCUGUAGCCGGCCGGAUAAGUCUCUUGAGAAAUCUGGCAGCUUAACUGUCAGGCUUUCAGGAGAUACUGUCUGGCUCGAGGCCGGGAGAGGUGAGAGGUACUUCAGGGGUAGGGGUGAAAUCUUGUAAUCCUUGAAGGACCACCAGUGGCGAAGGCGUCUCACCAGAACGGACCUGACGGCAAGGGACGAAAGCUAGGGGCACGAACCGGAUUAGAUACCCGGGUAGUCCUAGCCGUAAACGAUACUCGCUAGGUGUCGGCCACGGUGCGACCGUUGUCGGUGCCGUAGGGAAGCCGUGAAGCGAGCCACCUGGGAAGUACGGCCGCAAGGCUGAAACUUAAAGGAAUUGGCGGGGGAGCACAGGAAUUGGCGGGGGAGCAC